Brassica napus (rape) is the source of this 1817-nucleotide long non-coding RNA. RefSeq lists it as uncharacterized. The record is from RefSeq and is a predicted model, not a curated record. NCBI's taxonomy places the organism in Eukaryota, Viridiplantae, Streptophyta, Magnoliopsida, Brassicales, Brassicaceae. The transcript has 2 exons.
GUCAAUGAGUCACCACAUACAAGAAUCAAGCGGAAUAGUCAAUGAGAAAGAGCCGACGAAAAUAUUUGACGACAAUUCGGCGUGUAUCUCUCAACUUAAAGAAGGCCACAUUAAGAGUGACAGGACAAAGCACAUCCCUCCAAGAUUUUUCUCAUACAUACGGGAGCUCGAGAAAAAUAAAGAAGUGGACAUUGAGUAUGUACGGUCAUGCGACAAUCCAGCUGAUUUGUUUACAAAAGCUCUUCCGACUACAACAUUCCGAAAACACGUCUAUGGUAUCGGAAUGCGGCAUUUGCGUGACCUGUGACGAGAAAGCUAUGUCUACUAUUAUCAGGGAGAGGUUACGGCAGUGUACUCUUUUUCCCUUGUCAUGGUUUUUGUCCCAAUGGGGUUUUCCAUGACUAGGUUUUUAACGAGGUACGUAAUACAAGAUGGAUAAUCAAGGGGGAGUGUUAGAAGAUAAAUAUGGAAAUUGGAUGAUUAUCCAGCUUGGACACUUGUCCUUCUCCCCUCAUCAGCUUUGCACCAUCACCACUGCACGUGUCAGUCCAAUGGUUUUGUCUUUUUGUGUGUUUAACCGACUUCUCCCUUCUAUAUAAAGGAUUUCAUGUUCACUUGUAAUAAUAUAUAUGAGCAAUUAGUUUUACGUAUCUCUCUCCCUCGUAACAAACAAAAACAUCACUUUCAUCUCUCCCUGUCUCCCACUAUCGUUUCCUUCUUCUUUCUUAUAUACUAAACACAUAAAAAAAUAAUAUAAUUAAUAUUCAGAUAUAUAAAUACCUCACAUUUAUUACACAACACUAUGUUGUUUCUUUAACCUAAUAGCUUCUCUCUUGAGCUUGGAAAUAAACGCAUUCUCAUGUUUUUUUUUUCAUGUGUAAAAUAGUUGCAUCGAAGCUACACCAUUCAGCCACAUUGAUCCUUGUUAUAUGAACCUCUGUUAGUGCUGGUUUAGUUCUAGUCCAUGGGUUUGGAGGAGUUGUCUUCUCUUGAAGACAUGUAAUGGGAGAACUGUCUCUGCAGCUUGGUCGUAGAAUGGUGUGAUAAUGCUCUACAAAGCUUCUCUAUGUUUAGAAGCUUGGGAUGAAGCACUCAAUGAGAUAAUCAAGUUAUCAUAUGAGAUGAUCCAAAAGGUACUGUACUCAGAAAUGGGUUUAGAUAAUCAUCAAAUACAUAUUAGAAAAGUAUGCCGAUGGUAGAAGUAGAACAAUAACAAACGGAGAUCCAAAACAACCAGCUCUCUAGCGUCUUCUUUAUCAUACAAAAGACUCUCACCCAAAGUGGAAGUAAACCUAUUCCUUGGCGGAUUUGUUGUUGAGAGCACAUCAGACAUGGAGAUUGGAGCUCGGAGUGAUCUGCGAAUCUUGUGAUCACGUAGGAGAAGAUGGAGUUGAUGAAGAGAAUGAGGAUGAGUAGCCACUCGUUAAAGGCUAAUGCCAAAGCUCUGGUGAAACUCCGUGAGCUUGUCUGAGGUUUCAUGGAGAGAUAGCCAUCUUGUUGGUAUGGUAGAAACAUAUAAAGAUCGAAGAAUCAAUCAAUUAUGGGGCAAAUUUUCAAAUCUGCAAAGCAAAACGUUUUAGUUAUACUACAAAAUAUUGCAGAUUGCUGCAGGAAAAAAAACAGAGACAAGAAGAGAAAGUUGACCAAACAUACAUAGAGAUUUGAUCCUUUGUCUUUAGCAGUAGAAGGAACUGCACAAAAAGAAACCAUAACAGAGGAACAAGAUCAAGCUACCAAAAAUCAUUAGAAAGCAUGAUAAAUUUUAGUUGUUCUUGAGUUAAAGCAAGACUCUUUAUAACAUGAGAACCAGUUAGCUU